CAGCACCGCGGUAAUACGGAGGGUGCAAGCGUUAAUCGGAAUUACUGGGCGUAAAGCGCACGCAGGCGGUCUGACAAGUCAGAUGUGAAAUCCCCGGGCUUAACCUGGGAACUGCAUUUGAAACUGUCAGGCUGGAGUCUUGUAGAGGGGGGUAGAAUUCCAGGUGUAGCGGUGAAAUGCGUAGAGAUCUGGAGGAAUACCGGUGGCGAAGGCGGCCCCCUGGACAAAGACUGACGCUCAGGUGCGAAAGCGUGGGGAGCAAACAGGAUUAGAUACCCCAGUAGUCCCUGUCUCUUAUACC
This 301-nucleotide ribosomal RNA is filed under the name uncultured bacterium. RNAcentral's name for it is "partial 16S ribosomal RNA". It matches the Rfam family "Bacterial small subunit ribosomal RNA", at positions 509 to 808 of the family's 1533-position model. The record is from RNAcentral.